This 314-nucleotide ribosomal RNA is filed under the name uncultured bacterium. RNAcentral describes it as "partial 16S ribosomal RNA". It matches the Rfam family "Bacterial small subunit ribosomal RNA", at positions 499 to 807 of the family's 1533-position model. The record is from RNAcentral.
UUAUAAGAGACAGCAGUAGCCACGGGAAUACAGAGGGUGCGAGCGUUAAUCGGAUUUACUGGGCGUAAAGCGUGCGUAGGCGGCUUUUUAAGUCGGAUGUGAAAUCCCUGAGCUUAACUUAGGAAUUGCAUUCGAUACUGGGAAGCUAGAGUAUGGGAGAGGAUGGUAGAAUUCCAGGUGUAGCGGUGAAAUGCGUAGAGAUCUGGAGGAAUACCGAUGGCGAAGGCAGCCAUCUGGCCUAAUACUGACGCUGAGGUACGAAAGCAUGGGGAGCAAACAGGAUUAGAGACCCCAGUAGUCCCUGUCUCUUAUAC